RNAcentral lists this ribosomal RNA (491 nucleotides) under Aerumnosa bituberculata. Its description in RNAcentral is "partial 16S ribosomal RNA". The record is from RNAcentral. Lineage: Eukaryota; Metazoa; Arthropoda; Insecta; Diptera; Sciaridae.
ACCUGCCCAGUGAGAUUUUUUUUUAACGGCUGCAGUAUUUUGACUGUACAAAGGUAGCAUAAUAAAUAGUUUUUUAAUUGAAAGCUAGAAUGAAUGGUUGGAUGAGAUGUUAACUUUUUUAAUUUAAAAAAAAAAAAUAAUGAAUUUUACUUCUUAUUAAAAAGGAUAAGAUAAAUUUAAAAGACGAGAAGACCCUAUAGAGUUUUAUAUUAAUAUAAUAACUUUAAAUAAGUGAUAAAUGAUAACUAGGGUUGGAUUAUAUUAUUAUUUUGUUGGGGUGAUAGAAAAAAACGAUUAACUUUUUCAUGAGAUAAAUUUUUAUUUUAAACCAUUAAUGCAUGAUUUUUUGAUCCAGUAAUAUUGAUUAAAAAAAUAAAUUACCUUAGGGAUAACAGCGUAAUUUUAUUUUUAAGUUCAAAUUUUUAAUAAUUUUUGCGACCUCGAUGUUGGAUUAAGAAUAUUUUUGGGUGCAGAAGUUUAAAAAAAUAAGU